Molecule: non-coding RNA, 106 nt
Organism: Naganishia cerealis
Lineage: Eukaryota; Fungi; Basidiomycota; Tremellomycetes; Filobasidiales; Filobasidiaceae
Source: the annotation of a GenBank genome assembly
GAUCCUAUAGUCAAGUGGUUACGACGUGGCAUUGUGGCCUUCUGAACUGUCUAGGCAGCUCAGUAGCAAUUCUGCCGAGGCGAGUGUUCGAUUCACUCUAGGGUCA